Molecule: long non-coding RNA, 1322 nt
Filed under: Sus scrofa (pig)
Lineage: Eukaryota; Metazoa; Chordata; Mammalia; Artiodactyla; Suidae
Description: lncRNA (ENSSSCG00050045229.1)
Source: RNAcentral
GGGCAUGUGGAGGUUCCCAGGCUAGGGAUCAAAUCAGAGCUAUAGCUGCCAGCCUACACCAGAGUCAUAGCAACGCCAGAUUCAAGCCCCUAGUUCUGCGACCUUCACCACACCUCAUGGCAAAGCCGGAUCCCGAACCCACUGAAUGAGGCCAGGGGUGGAACCUGUGUCCUCAUGGAUACUAGCCGGGUUUGUUACCACUGAGCCACCAUGGGAACUCUGCCUACCCCCAGUCUCUCCCAAGUCUGCAGGGGCCCACACUGGAUACUCUGGACCUCCGCCCCAUCUCUACCCCAACCUGCGGGGGUGAAGUUGAGUACCUGAGUCAGACUCCUGAUUUGCUGGAUGUAUGACCUUGGGCAAGUCACUUGGUUUCACUGUGCCUCCAUUUCUUCAUCUAAAAUGGGGAUAAUGUAUGCACCUGCCCACAGGGAGAGAUGACACACGUGAAGCGCUUAGUGCCCCGCUUGGCAAAUAGGGCUCAAACCGUGCUGGCAGGCAUAAUCUCUACUCCUUUUCAAGAGCUUCCUCCCUGUCAGGUUUCCAAGUCCAUGCUUCUAACACCAGUUCAAAAUUGCUCUCUUCCUGGGAGUCUCCAAGGAAUCCACUCAGACCAUCUUUUGGUUUUCCUUUUUUUUUCUUUUUUCUUUUUGCUUUUUAGGGCCACACCCGCGGCAUAUGGAGGUUCCCGGGCCAGGGGUCCAAUUGGAGCUACAGCUGCCGGCCUACACCACAGCCACAGCAACACAGGGUCCGAGCCGCCUCUGUAACCCACACCACAGCUCAUGGCAAGGCCAGAUCCUUAAUCCACUGAGCAAGGACAGGGAUUGAACCCACAACCUCAUGGUUCCUAGUCGGAUUUGUUUCGUUUGUGCCAAACCAUCUAUUUGUUUGUUUGUUUGUUUAGGGCUUUUUAGGGCUGCACCUGUGGUAUAGGGAAGUUCCCAGGCUAGGGGUCUGUUUGGAGCUCCGGCUGCCAGCCUAUGCCACACCACAGCUCAGAGCAAUGCUGGUUCAUCUGACCCACUUAGCAAGGCCAGGGAUCAAACCUGUAUCCUCAUGGAUACUAGCCAGAUUUGUUUCCACUGUGCCACAACGGGAACUCCUUGUUUGGGGGGUUUCUUUUUUUUUGCUUUUUAGGUUGGCACCUGUGGCAUAUGGAAGUUCCCAGGCUAGGCUUUUGCUUUGUUUUUGUUUUUUUUUUCUUUUUUAACUGAGUCUCCCUGGAGAUGUUUGGAGUAUAUCUACAUAUACGGAUGAGUUCCUGUCUUAUUUCCUCUGGCUGUUGUUUCCUUCCUUUCCAUGCAGUGGUGGGGGAGGGG